Molecule: ribosomal RNA, 372 nt
Filed under: uncultured organism
Description: partial 16S ribosomal RNA
Rfam family: Bacterial small subunit ribosomal RNA
Source: RNAcentral
GUAGGGUGCAAGCGUUAAUCGGAAUUACUGGGCGUAAAGCGUGCGCAGGCGGUUUUGUAAGUCUGUCGCGAAAGCCCCGGGCUUAACCUGGGAAUUGCGAUGGAGACUGCAAGGCUUGAAUCUGGCAGAGGGGGGUAGAAUUCCACGUGUAGCAGUGAAAUGCGUAGAGAUGUGGAGGAACACCGAUGGCGAAGGCAGCCCCCUGGGUCAAGAUUGACGCUCAUGCACGAAAGCGUGGGGGGGAGCAAACAGGAUUAGAUACCCUGGUAGUCCACGCCCUAAACCGAUGUCUACUAGUUGUCGGGUCUUAAUUGACUUGGUAACGCAGCUAACGCGUGAAGUAGACCGCCUGGGAGUACGGUCGCAAGAUUA